This is a non-coding RNA of Pelobates cultripes (western spadefoot toad), 298 nucleotides long. The record is from the annotation of a GenBank genome assembly. Lineage: Eukaryota; Metazoa; Chordata; Amphibia; Anura; Pelobatidae.
GUUCUCUGUCUGCAGCCAGAUUGUGAAUUAAAAACAUCUCACUCAGUGCUGUUGGACCUGAGGCUGUGUACAUACAUUUGAUGAGAAAGUCUUUCUGGCAUGAAGGGGCAUGGCCAAGGAGGCAGGCUUAUGGUGCAGAAUUCAACAACACAUUUAUUGGUACCUGGAGAGAGUCCCUGUAACUCUUUAGCAAAGUGACAUCAAUCCCAGCCAGCUGCCACUCAUGCACACCAGAGAAUUUCUAUUACCCAAUGCUAUACUGGUGGAGAAGAAAGGGAUUUCCAGAUAACCACAUUGU